CGAACGGGUGAGUAACACGUGGGCAACCUGCCCAAAANAAGGGGGGAGUAACACUUGGAAACAGGUGCUAAUACCGCAUAACCAUAGUUACCGCAUGGUAACUAUGUAAAAGGUGGCUAUGCUACCGCUUUUGGAUGGGCCCGCGGCGCAUUAGCUAGUUGGUGGGGUAAAGGCUUACCAAGGCAAUGAUGCGUAGCCGAACUGAGAGGUUGAUCGGCCACAUUGGGACUGAGACACGGCCCAAACUCCUACGGAAGGCAGCAG
RNAcentral lists this ribosomal RNA (264 nucleotides) under uncultured bacterium. RNAcentral describes it as "partial 16S ribosomal RNA". It matches the Rfam family "Bacterial small subunit ribosomal RNA", at positions 99 to 354 of the family's 1533-position model. The record is from RNAcentral.